Molecule: ribosomal RNA, 462 nt
Filed under: Chloropicon mariensis
Lineage: Eukaryota; Viridiplantae; Chlorophyta; Chloropicophyceae; Chloropicales; Chloropicaceae
Description: partial Bacterial large subunit ribosomal RNA
Rfam family: Bacterial large subunit ribosomal RNA
Source: RNAcentral
AGCCGUAGCGAAAGCGAGUCCGAACAGGGCGGUUGAGUCGCAUGACCAAGACCCGAAGCUGAGUGAUCUACCCAUGGCCAGGUUGAAGCGCGUGUAAGAGCGCGUGGAGGACCGAACCCACUUCAGUUGAAAAUGGAGGGGAUGAGCUGUGGGUAGGGGUGAAAGGCCAAUCAAACUCGGAAAUAGCUGGUUCUCCGCGAAAUCUAUUUAGGUAGAGCGUCGACCGAAUACCCUCGGGGGUAGAGCACUGGAUGGGUGAUGGGGGCCCACAGCCUUACUGAGCCUAACCAAACUCCGAAUACCGAGGAGCACUAUCUGGCAGACAGACGGCGGGUGCUAACGUCCGUCGUCGAGAGGGAAACAACCCUGACCUCCAGCUAAGGCCCCUAAUUCACGGCUAAGUGGGAAAGCAGGUGGGACGACCAAAACAACCAGGAGGUUGGCUUAGAAGCAGCCAUCCUU